GUAAGCGGUAGUUUCUAGCACCUGGAAUUGUGAGUAAAAAAUGAAUUAACACAGAAGAGUUCCUGGCACAUAGCAAGGGGUCAUGGAAGGAUGACACUGCAAGUGCCCAACUAGAAAAGUGACAGCAUUUUACUCCAUUUUAAAUGGCUUUCGGUGGAUUAUGAGGAUCCAUAUGCAGCCUGAGACUGUUUGUUUCAAGAUUAUUUGAGAAGAACCAAGAAGGUAUCCUGUUUUAACGCCAGCUGAUGUAAUGCAAUUCAAUUCUAGCACUAAGCACCUGGAAUUAGUGCACACUCCACAAGGCAAUGCAGAUCUUCAGAAGGCAUUUGGUUCCAGAGGUCUGCAGCUUCUGGGAUGCUUGGGUCACGCUUCAGUUUACCAAGGACAGUGGGAGCCACAGCAACAGAUGACAUUCAUAAGAGAAUGAGGGAAGAGAAGAUGGAGGC
This is a non-coding RNA of Delphinapterus leucas (beluga whale), 446 nucleotides long. The record is from RefSeq and is a predicted model, not a curated record. NCBI's taxonomy places the organism in Eukaryota, Metazoa, Chordata, Mammalia, Artiodactyla, Monodontidae.